UGGAGCUGGGGGUUUGAGCUGGGGCACUGGAGUGGGGUGGGGUGUCCAAGCACCUCCUGGCCCCUCUGAACCAUAGCACCAAGGCUGGCAUCCUCCAGCACCCAGGAAAGACAGAGGCCUGCUCAAGGCCUGGCACCAAGACCUAUGGACUCCAGGGCCUGGGUUCUGACCACGCUGUUGCCUGGCACCCUCCUCCCCAUGUGAGAGCUGGUGGGGAAACCCGCCCCACAGAGCUCCCCCCACCACCAGGCAGCACGAAGGUUCUUCUUUCUGCAGCUGAAGCCACCUGCCUGGGCCGCAAGCCUUGGCCUCACCUGGAGCUCAGCUCCCCGCUCCCGAGCCCAGCCAAGCCCAGGUCCUGCUCCCUCCCCAAGCCUGACGCCUGACAUCCCUCCACUGCCGGCGGCUGCUCUGCCUGCAGUGUGACAGGGAAUCUCUGUUGCAACGGAGGCCAGCUCAGUCCAGCGGGGAGGAGGAGCUGUCCCGGGCCGGUGGGCAGGGCCAAUUGGGAGAGACAGGUGUCUGGAAGGACCCGGAGGAUGAGGCCUGGAGCUAAAGGCUGGACCCUGAGGACACUGUCCUGCCGGCUCGUCUGGAGCAGGUCAGGCCCAGCAGGGCAUCCCCCGGAUAGUCCCUCAGAGCACGUCCAGGCUGUGCCCACUUCCCAAGGACAUCACCAAGUCACUGUCCACCCUCAGAGCACCUGCUCCUCACACACGCUGUACCCCGGACUCCCCCGGGUGCCAGGGAUAGGCCAGCGGGGAACGAGGAGUGACCAGAACCCAGGACUCCCGCCCUCAUCUGACAGCCACUUAGCCCACUUCCCACUGGGGACUCUUCCUUGGAAGGUUGCUCUGGAAACCCCCUACUGUGUGGGGUAACCUCGCCGGGCACCCCACCCUGGCCGAGCACUGCCAUGCCACACAAGAAGGAUGGAACCUUCCUCCCCAAGCUGGGGUGGGGCAGGGGCUGGGGGAGAUGGAAGGCCCUGCACCGCCCCCAGCCUCCCUGCCACUCCCCACACCUGGGAGAUGCUCAGGACCCCCAUGUAGCCACGGCCGCUCCCCCCAGCUUCUUACCAGGUCGAGGACAGAUGGGGACGGACGCUGCUGCCUCGGCACCUGCUGAUUAGUGCGGCCCACCCUGAGGGGCGCCCCUGUUCCCCAAGGUGGUUGGGAGGGCACUCGCGGGUCCUGGGGAAGUUGGAUGGCCCUGGGAAUGGCGGGUCCUGGAGGGUGCGGGAGCCUGAGGGGGAACUUGGGGGUCUUAGGUUAGACCGGGGCCUCCCCGCGUGGGGAGGGCGCAGCAGACUGUACCUGGGGGCGCAUUGGCCGUCGUCAAACUCGAAGGUCCGGUUGGUGUAGCCCCCGCCGCGCGCCUCCCGGCAGACGCCCCCCGGGGUCCGCGCCCCGUCAGGGAGUGGCAUGCGGCCUGGCAGCUCGGACCCGACCCGAGGGAGAAGCGAGUGGGAGCCGCCACCUUCUUCCCUCGCGUUGCCCUGAAAAACAUUUUUUUUUUCCUCGCAGAUUAGCGAGGAAAAGACGCCAGUUCCAGGGUCGGGUGCAGGCGUCUG
RNAcentral lists this long non-coding RNA (1573 nucleotides) under Homo sapiens (human). RNAcentral's name for it is "HSALNT0355398". The record is from RNAcentral. Lineage: Eukaryota; Metazoa; Chordata; Mammalia; Primates; Hominidae.